AGAGGAUAUGGUCCUUUGAGAUCUAUGUAGAUUGAUGGAUAACAGAGGAUGAAUUAUUUUGAGAUCGUAUAAAAGUCACAAUUCGGUCUCUCCGAAUUAAAGAUGUUUUAGUUUUUUUUUUCCUCAUUGUUUUAACUGUGUUAGAAUUCAGAUAGACGACUAAGCUAUAUUUUAAUAAAAAUAAAGAUUUGGUGGUUAAUUAAAACUUUUAAAACUUUUGAGGUCUCUAUGUAACUAAAUUUAAAGGAUUGUUAUAAUUUUCUUAUUGCUCGAUUUUAUCCAGACUUCCUACCAUCCUAGUUUCUGAAAAUAAAAAUGG
RNAcentral lists this long non-coding RNA (319 nucleotides) under Phoenix dactylifera (date palm). RNAcentral's name for it is "long non-coding RNA (PDAC_LNC003383)". The record is from RNAcentral. Lineage: Eukaryota; Viridiplantae; Streptophyta; Magnoliopsida; Arecales; Arecaceae.